This 461-nucleotide ribosomal RNA is filed under the name uncultured bacterium. RNAcentral's name for it is "bacterial SSU rRNA". It matches the Rfam family "Bacterial small subunit ribosomal RNA", at positions 340 to 789 of the family's 1533-position model. The record is from RNAcentral.
UACGGAAGGCAGCAGUGGGGAAUAUUGCACAAUGGGCGAAAGCCUGAUGCAGCUAUGCCGCGUGUAUGAAGAAGGCCUUAGGGUUGUAAAGUACUUUCAUCGGGGAGGAAAAACAAAACUAAUAAUUUUAUUUCUUGACGUUACCCGAAAAAGAAGCACCGGCUAACUCCGUGCCAGCAGCCGCGGUAAUACGGAGGGUGCUAGCGUUAAUCAGAAUUACUGGGCGUAAAGAGCACGUAGGUGGUUUUUUUAAAGUCAGAUGUGAAAUCCCUGGGCUUAACCUAGGAACUGCAUUUUGAAACUGAAAUACUAGAGUAUCGUAGAGGGAGGUAGAAUUCUAGGUGUAGCGGUGAAAUGCGUAGAUAUCUGGAGGAAUACCUGUGGCGAAAGCGGCCUCCUAAACGAAUACUGACACUGAGGUGCGAAAGCGUGGGGAGCGAAACAGGGAUUAGGAUACCCGU